GGUAAUUCUAGAGCUAAUACAUGCCGAAAAGGCCCCUCGCGGGGUUGUAUUUAUUAGAUUAAAGGCCGUUGGGAGCUUGCUCCCAUUUGGUGAAUCAUGAUAACUGCUCGGAGCGUAUGGCCUUGCGCCGACGCCGCUUCAUUCAAAUACCUGCCCUAUCAGCUUGUCGGUACUGUAGUGGACUACCGAGGCUUUCACGGGUAACGGGGAAUUAGGGUUCGAUUCCGGAGAGAGGGCCUGAGAAACGGCCCUCAUGACUAAGGUCAGCAGCAGGCGCGCAAAUUAUCCACUCUCAAUUCGAGGAGAUAGUGACAAUAAAUAACAAUAGAGGGCUCUUUUGGGUCUUCUAAUUGGAAUGAGAACAAUCUAAAUCCCUUAACGAGGAUCAAUUGGAGGGCAAGUCUGGUGCCAGCAGCCGCGGUAAUUCCAGCUCCAAUAGCGUAUAUUAAAGUUGUUGACGUUAAAAAGCUCGUAGUCGACUUUCGGCCCUAGCCGACCGGUCCGCUCAAUGAGUGUGUACUGGACUCGGCUGGGGCUUUACCUCCUAGUGAACGCGCAUGCCCUUUACUGGGUGUGCGCGGGAACUCGGAAUUUUACUUUGAAUAAAUCAGAGUGUUCAAAGCAGGCAUGUUUGCCCGAAUGUUACAGCAUGGAAUAAUAGAAUAGGAUGCGUGCCUCUAUUGGUCUUUUAGAGGCACCUUAAUGAGAAAUAGGGGCGGCUCGGGGGCAUUUGUAUUCAAUUGCUAGAGGUGAAAUUCUUGGAUUUAUUGAAGACAAACUACUGCGAAAGCAUUUGCCAAGGACGCUUUCAUUGAUCAAGAACGAAGGUCGGGGGAUCGAAAACGAUUAGAUACCGUUGUAGUCUCGACAGUAAACUAUGCCAACCGGCGAUGGGUGGGGAUUUUCUUAAUGACCCCAUCUGCAGCCAAAGAGAAAUUCUUGAGUGCGGUUCGUGGGGGAGUACGGUCACAAGGCUGAAACUUAAAGGAAUUGACGGAAGGGCACCACCAGGAGUGGAGCCUGCGGCUUAAUUUGACUCAACACGGGGAAACUCACCAGGUCCAGACACAAUUAGGAUUGACAGAUUGAUAGCUCUUUCUUGAUCUUGUGGUUGGUGGUGCAUGGCCGUUCUUAGUUGGUGGAGUGAUUUGUCUGGUUAAUUCCGAUAACGAACGAGACCUUAACCUGCUAAAUAGCCCAGUCGACUUUGGUUGACUGCUGGCUUCUUAGAGGGACUAUCGACGUUUAGUCGAUGGAAGUUUGAGGCAAUAACAGGUCUGUGAUGCCCUUAGAUGUUCUGGGCCGCACGCGCGCUACACUGACAGAGCCAGCGAGUUCUUUUCCUUGGCCGGAAGGCCUGGGUAAUCUUGUGAAACUCUGUCGUGAUGGGGAUAGAGCAUUGCAAUUAUUGCUCUUCAACGAGGAAUUCCUAGUAAGCGUGAGUCAUCAGCUCGCGUUGAUUACGUCCCUGCCCUUUGUACACACCGCCCGUCGCUACUACCGAUNGAAUGGCUUAGUGAGGUCUCCGGAU
Molecule: ribosomal RNA, 1531 nt
Filed under: uncultured Basidiomycota
Lineage: Eukaryota; Fungi; Basidiomycota
Description: SSU rRNA
Rfam family: Eukaryotic small subunit ribosomal RNA
Source: RNAcentral